Molecule: ribosomal RNA, 253 nt
Filed under: uncultured bacterium
Lineage: Bacteria
Description: partial 16S ribosomal RNA
Rfam family: Bacterial small subunit ribosomal RNA
Source: RNAcentral
UACGUAGGGUGCAAGCGUUAAUCGGAAUUACUGGGCGUAAAGCGUGCGCAGGCGGUUUUGUAAGUCUGACGUGAAAUCCCCGGGCUCAACCUGGGAAUUGCGUUGGAGACUGCAAGGCUGGAGUCUGGCAGAGGGGGGUAGAAUUCCACGUGUAGCAGUGAAAUGCGUAGAGAUGUGGAGGAACACCGAUGGCGAAGGCAGCCCCCUGGGUCAAGAUUGACGCUCAUGCACGAAAGCGUGGGGAGCAAACAGG